AAAGAUAUAUGGAAUUUUGGAGACCCCCUUGUAAAAAUGAAAUUUUGUGUAAAUUGCUGCUUACAUAAAACAAUUAUACUAUACUAAAGUAUACUAUAUUCAAAGAGGACAUUUACAUAUGAAAUGUAAAAUUAAUUCAUGUAAAUUUUAAUAUUCUGUAGCUAUUAAAAUUAAAUCCAUAAAAUUAAAUCCGUUGGUUCAAUACUCUAAAAAUAUAAUGCACUUAACACGUGACCUUUUGUUUUGCUCAAUGAAAACUUAGUUUGUGAAAUGUAAAUUCUAUAAUUACUACAUACUACGUUAUCUAAAUCGAAAUCUCUUACAGGAAUUUUUUUUGUAACAUCUGAUCAAAUGUAACCACUAAUGCAUUUCUGUAUAAUCGGUAGAUAGAGCAAAUUCAUAAUGGAUGUUAAGGUCCUCAUUCCAAAAAUAGACAUUUCUUAGAUACUUUAGGAAUGUGAAAUAUUAAUGUAUACGAUGAAUCUAUCUAAUUUGUGUCAUUAGCAUUACUGACUCAACACUGCAUCCAUGAACAGCUGUCUAUACUUUCAAUGAAGAGAUUGUUUAUAAUGGAAUUUAAUGUUCUUUAUCAAAAGGGAGUCAUUUUAUAGAUACUUGGAGAGUAUAAAUGUAUAUGAAUCUUUUUCAUACUGCAUGUUUUACUGGUCCAAAGUAAGUCUAAUGCAUAAUCAGAAUGAUAGAUUCCAGUGAAAUAGAGAUUAUGCUUAAAAUGUCUUAAAGGGACACUAUAGUCGCCAGAACAACUACAGCUUAUUGUAAUUGUUCUGAUGAGUAGAUUCAGUCCCUUCAGACUUUUUUCAGUAAAUACUAUUUACAUUAUAGCCUAGGGAUACCUCCAGUUACCACUUAGAUGGCUACAAGAGGUGCUUCCUGGGGCAGUGCUGCACACUUACAGGAUUAACAUUUAGUGUCUCCAUCAUCUGCAUGGAGACACUGAACUUUCCUCAUAGAGAUGCAUUGAUUCAGUGCAUCUGUAUGAGGAGAUGCUGAUUGGACAAGGCUAUGUUUGGCUUUUGCUGGUUCUGCCUCUGAUCUGCCUUGUUGACAGUCUCAGCCAGUCCAAUGCUUUCCUAUGGGAAAGCAUUGUGAUUGGCUUAGAUCACCACUUCUGAUGAUGUCAGCCAAGGGGGCAGAGCCAGCAGCAGCAGACUGGAAUAAAGGCAAGAUUUUAUUAUAUUCAAGGCUAGAUGGUGUUUUGAACACUAUAAGGUCACGAAUACAUGUUUGUGGGUUAAUAAAAUUGUUUUUGUUUGAACCCCUUUACUAAUUCCUGAUAACUUUCCCAUUGCCAUGGAGUUGUAUAAAUAUGUGUUGAACACUCUCUUCUAUUAUAAUACUCUAUUGGCCACAUUAUCCAAAAUGUCUUUAAUAUGCUACACGUAAAAUUGCUUUGUUAAUGCAAUGAGAAACAUAUCUGUAUAUUGUGCGUAUCAAUAUUCUAUGACCUAUUUCCUAAAGAAAAUCUGUAUAGUUUUGUGUAUCAGACACCCUAAUGACACAAUAUUGUUUAGGUUGUUUUUAUAAAUAUAUAUAUUCUUCUCUCACUCCAAAUCUGUCAUUUGUGUUUUCCCAUUUGAGCUACAGCAUUGCUUUUUCAGAUCCUUUGAGCUGUCAAAAGUAAAUUAGAAAUAUUAAUUGAAAUUAUGGCUGUGUAAUAAAAGAAAACACUAAUGGUAA
Molecule: long non-coding RNA, 1698 nt
Organism: Pelobates fuscus (common spadefoot toad)
Lineage: Eukaryota; Metazoa; Chordata; Amphibia; Anura; Pelobatidae
Exons: 2
Source: RefSeq, a predicted model, not a curated record